GUUGUUGUAGUAUAGUGGUGAGUAUCCCCGCCUGUCACGCGGGAGACCUGGGUUCGAUCCCCGGCAACGGCG
RNAcentral lists this transfer RNA (72 nucleotides) under Ipomoea nil (Japanese morning glory). It matches the Rfam family "tRNA". Rfam says of the family: Transfer RNA (tRNA) molecules are approximately 80 nucleotides in length. Lineage: Eukaryota; Viridiplantae; Streptophyta; Magnoliopsida; Solanales; Convolvulaceae. The record is from Rfam by way of RNAcentral.